UACGUAGGGUGCGAGCGUUGUCCGGAAUUACUGGGCGUAAAGAGCUCGUAGGUGGUUUGUCGCGUUGUCCGUGAAAACUCGCAACUCAAUUGUGGGCGUGCGGGCGAUACGGGCAGACUGGAGUACUGCAGGGGAGACUGGAAUUCCUGGUGUAGCGGUGAAAUGCGCAGAUAUCAGGAGGAACACCGAUGGCGAAGGCAGGUCUCUGGGCAUUAACUGACGCUGAGGAGCGAAAGCACGGGAAGCGAACAGG
This 253-nucleotide ribosomal RNA is filed under the name uncultured bacterium. RNAcentral describes it as "partial 16S ribosomal RNA". It matches the Rfam family "Bacterial small subunit ribosomal RNA", at positions 524 to 776 of the family's 1533-position model. The record is from RNAcentral.